RNAcentral lists this ribosomal RNA (301 nucleotides) under uncultured bacterium. RNAcentral describes it as "partial 16S ribosomal RNA". It matches the Rfam family "Bacterial small subunit ribosomal RNA", at positions 509 to 807 of the family's 1533-position model. The record is from RNAcentral.
CAGCCGCCACGGUAAUACGAAGGGUGCAAGCGUUACUCGGAAUUACUGGGCGUAAAGCGUGCGUAGGUGGUGGUUUAAGUCCGUUGUGAAAGCCCUGGGCUCAACCUGGGAAUUGCAGUGGAUACUGGGUCACUAGAGCGUGGUAGAGGAUAGUGGAAUUUCCGGUGUAGCAGUGAAAUGCGUGGAGAUCAAGAGGAACACUCGUGGCGAAAGCGAGCUACUGGACAAUAUCUGACGCUGAGGCUCGAAGGCCAGGGUAGCGAAAGGGAUUAGAUACCCCCGUAGUCCCUGUCUCUUAUAC